RNAcentral lists this ribosomal RNA (275 nucleotides) under uncultured bacterium. RNAcentral's name for it is "partial 16S ribosomal RNA". It matches the Rfam family "Bacterial small subunit ribosomal RNA", at positions 524 to 796 of the family's 1533-position model. The record is from RNAcentral.
UACGUAGGGUGCAAGCGUUGUUCGGAAUUACUGGGCGUAAAGCGCACGUAGGCGGAUAUUUAAGUCAGGGGUGAAAUCCCAGAGCUCAACUCUGGAACUGCCUUUGAUACUGGGUAUCUUGAGUAUGGAAGAGGUAAGUGGAAUUGCGAGUGUAGAGGUGAAAUUCGUAGAUAUUCGCAGGAACACCAGUGGCGAAGGCGGCUUACUGGUCCAUAACUGACGCUGAGGUGCGAAAGCGUGGGGAGCAAACAGGAUUAGAAACCCGUGAGUAGUAC